This 511-nucleotide ribosomal RNA is filed under the name Scheffersomyces stipitis. Its description in RNAcentral is "eukaryotic LSU rRNA". It matches the Rfam family "Eukaryotic large subunit ribosomal RNA", at positions 35 to 553 of the family's 3401-position model. Lineage: Eukaryota; Fungi; Ascomycota; Pichiomycetes; Serinales; Debaryomycetaceae. The record is from RNAcentral.
UAAGCAUAUCAAUAAGCGGAGGAAAAGAAACCAACAGGGAUUGCCUUAGUAACGGCGAGUGAAGCGGCAAAAGCUCAAAUUUGAAAUCUGGCACCUUCGGUGUCCGAGUUGUAAUUUGAAGAAGGUAACUUUGGAGUCAGCUCUUGUCUAUGUUCCUUGGAACAGGACGUCACAGAGGGUGAGAAUCCCGUGCGAUGAGAUGUCUGAUUCUAUGUAAAGUGCUUUCGAAGAGUCGAGUUGUUUGGGAAUGCAGCUCUAAGUGGGUGGUAAAUUCCAUCUAAAGCUAAAUAUUGGCGAGAGACCGAUAGCGAACAAGUACAGUGAUGGAAAGAUGAAAAGAACUUUGAAAAGAGAGUGAAAAAGUACGUGAAAUUGUUGAAAGGGAAGGGUUUGAGAUCAGACUUGGUAUUUUGUAUGUCUUGCUUUCGGGUGGGGCCUCUACAGUUUACUGGGCCAGCAUCGGUUUGGACGGUAGGAUAAUGACAUUGGAAUGUGGCACCACUUCGGUGGU